GUGGGCAUUGUAUAAUGGUUAUUACCUCAACCUUCCAAGUUGAUGAUGUGGGUUCAAUUCCCACUGUCCACU
RNAcentral lists this transfer RNA (72 nucleotides) under Candidatus Blochmannia sansabeanus (nom. nud.). RNAcentral's name for it is "tRNA-Gly". It matches the Rfam family "tRNA". Rfam says of the family: Transfer RNA (tRNA) molecules are approximately 80 nucleotides in length. Their secondary structure includes four short double-helical elements and three loops (D, anti-codon, and T loops). Further hydrogen bonds mediate the characteristic L-shaped molecular structure. tRNAs have two regions of fundamental functional importance: the anti-codon, which is responsible for specific mRNA codon recognition, and the 3' end, to which the tRNAs corresponding amino acid is attached (by aminoacyl-tRNA synthetases). tRNAs cope with the degeneracy of the genetic code in two manners: having more than one tRNA (with a specific anti-codon) for a particular amino acid; and 'wobble' base-pairing, i.e. permitting non-standard base-pairing at the 3rd anti-codon position. The record is from RNAcentral. RNAcentral also lists the same sequence under 3 other names. Lineage: Bacteria; Pseudomonadati; Pseudomonadota; Gammaproteobacteria; Enterobacterales; Enterobacteriaceae.